GAGCGGUGGGCCUUUCGGGGUACACGAGCGGCGAACGGGUGAGUAACACGUGGGUGAUCUGCCCUGCACUUCGGGAUAAGCCUGGGAAACUGGGUCUAAUACCGGAUAUGACCUCCUAUCGCAUGGUGGGUGGUGGAAAGAUUUAUCGGUGCAGGAUGGGCCCGCGGCCUAUCAGCUUGUUGGUGGGGUAAUGGCCUACCAAGGCGACGACGGGUAGCCGACCUGAGAGGGUGACCGGCCACACUGGGACUGAGACACGGCCCAGACUCCUACGGGAGGCAGCAGUGGGGAAUAUUGCACAAUGGGCGAAAGCCUGAUGCAGCGACGCCGCGUGAGGGAUGACGGCCUUCGGGUUGUAAACCUCUUUCAGCAGGGACGAAGCGCAAGUGACGGUACCUGCAGAAGAAGCACCGGCUAACUACGUGCCAGCAGCCGCGGUAAUACGUAGGGUGCAAGCGUUGUCCGGAAUUACUGGGCGUAAAGAGUUCGUAGGCGGUUUGUCGCGUCGUUUGUGAAAACCAGCAGCUCAACUGCUGGCUUGCAGGCGAUACGGGCAGACUUGAGUACUGCAGGGGAGACUGGAAUUCCUGGUGUAGCGGUGAAAUGCGCAGAUAUCAGGAGGAACACCGGUGGCGAAGGCGGGUCUCUGGGCAGUACUGACGCUGAGGAACGAAGCGUGGGUAGCGAACAGGAUUAGAUACCUGGUAGUCC
This 711-nucleotide ribosomal RNA is filed under the name Rhodococcus sp. GIC31w. RNAcentral's name for it is "bacterial SSU rRNA". It matches the Rfam family "Bacterial small subunit ribosomal RNA", at positions 64 to 796 of the family's 1533-position model. Lineage: Bacteria; Bacillati; Actinomycetota; Actinomycetes; Mycobacteriales; Nocardiaceae. The record is from RNAcentral.